ACAUGCGGCUUGUUGUGGUGAAGGGGAUACAGUGAUCAUGGCUGCACUCGCCAUGCCGCCCACCACCUUCAUUCACUUCUUCGUUCUUGCACGUCCGCAUCACCGCAGCUGCUCUAUGGGAUAGGUAACCGGCGAGGAGGAGGGCGUCGGGUACAGUGCCGUUGUAUUUCGCAAUCCCUCUCACAUACACCCACCUCCAACAUCAACACUUCCACACCCACACACCGACAUACAUACGAGUGAGUUCAGCAGCCACAACAGUUUUCGCUUCGGUGCCGUCCCUUUCGUUUUCUUUUUUUUUUUUUCGAAUUAGGGGGAGGGAGAAGAGGGGCCCUGAACGUUGGAUUUCCAGUAGCGAUAUCCGCGGGCCCGCUGCACAACGUCCCUUUCCUCCACUUCCAUCCACAAAUGCAGAUAUAGUUGCCUCGCAAACGCGACUACAGUC
RNAcentral lists this unclassified non-coding RNA (445 nucleotides) under Leishmania donovani. Its description in RNAcentral is "gene:unknown". Lineage: Eukaryota; Euglenozoa; Kinetoplastea; Trypanosomatida; Trypanosomatidae. The record is from RNAcentral.